This 3227-nucleotide long non-coding RNA is filed under the name Daphnia magna. Its description in RNAcentral is "uncharacterized LOC116928264, transcript variant X4". The record is from RNAcentral. Lineage: Eukaryota; Metazoa; Arthropoda; Branchiopoda; Diplostraca; Daphniidae.
GUAUUCCACCCCUUGAUGAUGACUUGAAGCGACAAGGCAAUUCCAGACGAUUCGAAAGUGAAGCAGCUGGGCGCCGGGAUUCUUUUCAGAUAUCGAAAGAACAAUGACUUCCAUCUACCCUAAGGCCUGAACCAACUUUCCCUCUCAACAUCUUCGUCACGAAAAUCUUCUCCAUCUGCCUCGAUCUUUUGAUCUGCAUCUCGUGUCGUUAAAGGGAGGAAAAGAGAAACUACGAGAUUUCACCAAACGUCGGCAGAGAGACGAAUAAAAACCGCUCAUUUUGAACGCGUGAGAGACGCAAACAACAACAAUACGAACGUUCUACACACACUUGGCUUGUAGGGCGAGUUCACAGCCUACACCGCAACGAUGACUGUGUCGUCGUCUUUGAAAAGCCAAUUAAACUAGGACCGUUACACAGUCUCAAAACAGGUCUAGUUGGCUCGUUUUUUGGGGUUGGCAGCACAGGCGACCUGGUCGUUCGGCAUAGAAAUUGGCCCGUGACCGAAAAGGGUAGGUUCCACGACAUUCACGAAAAACAAAUGAAAACAGCAAUGAGCAAUGCAUAGCAAAACAAGUAAAAACGUGGCAAAAGCUGCGUAAAGAUCCAGUUUCGAUUCGUUGAAUUUCUCAAACGAAAUGUCAAAUGAAGACGACAGUCAUUCCAAAACAAUGAUAAGAGGAAAAAACCGGUGGAUAUUACCCAUUUUUUUUACAUUUUAACAAUCUUUUUUCGGACUUUGGUGGUGUCACCUUUAUUUCUGUUGGUGACGCGACUCUGUUGUCUGAGAAACGGAAGGAAGGCACCGCUUUUUAUUACCCCCUGCAAGUAUUUUCCCCUUCCCCAAAGAAAUUGUCGUCUCAUCACUUUGUUGUCAUUGUUGUUUAUUUUGCCCUUCAAUGACAAAAGCUUCCUUGCAUUUAAUUCCAUUCCUGCAUACGUUCAUCAAACCCCUCCCACUUUUAUCCCUCAAACACAUAAAAGUUUAUUCUUCUUCCCACAGACAACUUCAUUUUUGCCUUUUUCAUGAAAAACAGAUUUUAAAAAAAAUUGUUUUGUUUCGUGAAAAGGGAAUUUCCGGUUUAUAAUAUACUCGUGACACGAUCAAAUCGUUCCACCGUGAAAAAACAACAAGAAAAGAAUGUCGUAAUGGGCUACUAAUGUGCUGUCGCAACGCGUUGUUCUUUUGUUUGACAAUAUGGUCGGCCAUCAUGCGAUCUUGAAUACAAAAAUUUCUGUUUCCAUAAUCCAAGGUAUUUCUGUUGAACAGCUUAAGAAGAAGAAAAAAAUAAACGCCCAGAUAGUUUAAUAUUUUCUAUAAAGCUAGUACGCCAUGCAGGUGACUUUCAAUUUAUUAAGAAACCCUCCCCCAUGCGAAUUCCCUACUGCAUACCAGUAUCGUGUUUCUGAAUCAUAGAUUUAGCAAACUGGAUUGAACAGGUUUAGAUGUUCGGAGAAACAAGGGUUUAUUGUGGCUCUCUGCAAUCACUCCAUUGAAAAGUACGAGGAGAGCAAUUUGAGGGGAAUUUCCCAUAGCUCCUGAACGACACCCUUUAAUGUGUAUGAUAGUGGAUAGCACAAUUGUACACCUGUUAUCCAUCCAUCCGUUUGAGAAUAAAUGAUUUCUCCACAACAGGUUUUUCAAUUGGAGAAAAUGUGAUAGAAGAUAAAAUUCCAAUAAGUAAUGUCUUCCAUUCCAUUAGUUAAAAUGGUCCAACAUCAAACACCUUGAAAGUUCAAGAAACGAAACAAAAAACCAGUCAUAGCUCAUUUUUCUUUCUCUCUUUUUUUUUUACUUUGUUUUCCCGCUUUAUACAAAACAAAGCCCUGUGUCAGGUACGACGAGUCACCGGAGAUGAAGGUCUAACAAAAAACACACCUGCUUCCGCCACUUCAUCCAUGUCGUCAUCCCCCCCUUCACCAUCUCUUACUCAUUUGGCUAGAUAGCCGGAUGCACGUGGAAGGGUGGCUGCCGUAGUGUUCUACACGGCAUUGUAGAUGAUGGAAUACGUGGGAAUGAAAGAAGAAAAGAAAAAAAUGGCAGCACUAACAAUAUGAGAGCGUGACGAAUAACGACGAUGGAAUAAUUAUCUCGACUGUAUCCCCCCCCCCCUCUCUUUAUGCCUCUUGGAUAGAACUCUUCUAUAUUUAUAUUUUGAAUUUACGUUUCUUUUUUCUUUUAGGAAAAGAAAAGGAGAAAAGCCGUUGCAAUAGGAUCAGAACCGGGCUUCGGUUUGAAUUAUUCAACGCCCACCACCACCAUCACGACCACUCGUUCUCCUUGGGGAUUCAAAUCAGAUCAGAAAGAAAAAAGAAACGAAUGAAAAACAAGCCCGAUAAUGUCAAGGAUACAUGAGUCACGAGAUCGGUCCCGUGCGUUCAUUUAUUUCGCUUUUCUUCGAACGCGUUUUCCAAAUAACUGAAAGCUGAGAUACUGCUCAUUAUUGAACGAUUUGAUGGAGGGUUGGAGGGGCUUUCUCUUUCCUUCUCGUCCUAAAGUCGUGGCGUCGUAUGCGCCGUGGGGGGGAAUCGAGGUUCCCACGCCCAACAAGGUUUUGAACCUAACCCGGUAACACCACCAUCACUGCAGCCAGCCAAGGAGAACCAGAGGCCCGUAAGAAAAUUCGAAAAGGUAGGGCCGAUGGGGGGGAGAAAGGGUCAUCCUCUCUCUCGCCCAGGCACCAAAAGCUACACACGCAUAUACGCCAGGUGGGUGGAAAUGGAGGAGAAGGAAAAGAUGGAAAACAGGUAUGAAAACGGACGCCCUCUGGCCAGAAAGCCCUUAUACAGGUUAUAACAACGAAAGUAUCAGAGAGGAGGGCCGGGAAGACCCUCAGGUGAGUCUCCCUCGACUAUAAGAGUUGCCCUUUUUUCGUAUUUUUUUUUUUUACUAUUCUUUUUCCUCUUCGUUCCCUUCCCUCUCUCUCAUUCUUGGAGGAAACUAAAAAAGAAGCUUGUCACACUCACACACUUUUUUGUGUGUGGGGGAAGAUAAACCCAAAUCAACAUUGGCGAAAUGGUGGAAGAAAGAAGAAUAAGAAGAAAAACAGGUAUAUGGAAAAGAGAAUACGAAGCCGUACACCCCUGCUAGAUCUUCCAACUUCCGCCGAAUUCCCCCCAAAAAAAGAUAGGCCAACAUUCCAAACCGAUUUCUCAUCACAGCAACAAAACAUUUCCAGAUUUGGUGUACUUAAUCAUAUAAUCAAUAUACUUUAAUCAAAAGGCU